GCCCCUUUAGCUCAGGGGAUAGAGCGUCUGCCUCCGGAGCAGAAGGCCGCAGGUUCGAAUCCUGCAAGGGGCACCA
This 76-nucleotide transfer RNA is filed under the name Coriobacteriales bacterium. Its description in RNAcentral is "tRNA-Arg". It matches the Rfam family "tRNA". Rfam says of the family: Transfer RNA (tRNA) molecules are approximately 80 nucleotides in length. Lineage: Bacteria; Bacillati; Actinomycetota; Coriobacteriia; Coriobacteriales. The record is from RNAcentral.